Gossypium raimondii (Peruvian cotton) is the source of this 1651-nucleotide RNA transcript. It is a transcript of the gene named kinetochore protein SPC25 homolog, with no coding region annotated. The transcript is spliced from 9 exons. Lineage: Eukaryota; Viridiplantae; Streptophyta; Magnoliopsida; Malvales; Malvaceae. The record is from RefSeq and is a predicted model, not a curated record.
CCCUUUUAAUUCAAAUCAGGCCGCCCUUUUAUUUAAAAAGAAAAAAAAGGGAAAAAAAAUCCAGGCCUCUCUCUCUUGCUAAUGGAGCGCAAAAUUGAGCAAUCUCCAAAGACGAAAAUGGAGUCUCUGAGAACGAUCUGUGACAGAGAGUUUUCGAUCCAACAGCAGAAGAUAGAUUCUUUUACGGCAUCGUUUCCUUCUUCUCUUAAUUCCAUCAAGUCCCUAGUGCUUGAUACUGCUCAAAAUCAUGCCAAACUUGCAAAGUUGAAAGCCAAUUUAAGAGAAGCCGAAGAUGAGUUUGUCAAGGUUUUAGCUGCGAAGACCCGUAAAGAGGCGAAGCAGAUGGCAACGAGGGAUUCAAUCUCUGCUGUAAAAGCUAGAGUAGAAGAACUUAAAAGAACUGUCCAAGUUCAAAGGAGCAGGAGGGAAGAGUAUGGAGCAAUUAUAUCUCGGCAAUCUCUAGCUUUGUCAAAAACUGAAGAGGAUGCAGAACAUGAAAUAGAGGAAAAUGGAGAAAUUCAAGAAGCUAUUUCAUGGUAUAAUCGGGUUCUCGGUUUUCAGAUUGAAGGUGGUCGUGGGGUGAAGUUUACAUUCAAUGAUAUUAACAUAAAAAAUCCAAAGGAAGAAUAUUCCUUUACCAUUUGUCAUGCAAAUGAUGCCUACUCCUUAUUGGAUUGCAACCCAAACUUGAAUGGCAUUAAAGACUUGAUUAAUGAGUUGAACAGAACAAAUGACUUAUUUGGCUUUGUUAGAACCUUCAGAGAAAAGUUUCAAGAAGCAGCAGCACUUGGAUUGCAGCCCCAGUCCACAACUUUUGAUCAGGACUGUUCCACAAUCUCUUUGUCUGGUCCAGCUUUAUCAGUUUCGAGUAAUAGAAGUGAAUCUUCUGCCAAGAAAAAUGAGCAUCACAUUCCACUUCAAGAUGCAAAUAGGCAAUUUAAGAAAUUCAGCCAUGGAAGUAAAUCUCCAGCCAAGGUAAAUGAAAAUCAACAUAUUGAUGGAGAACUCAAUAGAAAUCCCAAGGAAGUAGUCAAAUCAGAUAUUCUAUCACCAGGUCGUCGGUCCACUCGGCUUAAAGAAGUAGCCAAAUCAGAAAUCUUAUCACCAGUUGUUCAUUGGUCCCCCCGGCUUAAGAAAGUAGCAAAACCAGAUCUUUUAUCACCAGUUGUUCGUCAGUCCCCUCGGCUUAAGGAACUCUCGGAAUAAUAUGUUUACCCCUUGGUUUGCUUCAUUUUCUAAGUUGGGGAUGCAUAUUUAUUUCUAGAAUGAUGCUAAGAAAUGAAGUUAGACUGGAGGCUGCUUGGUUGUAUCGAAUUUCCGAUUUCAUGUUGAUUUUAGGGUAUGGGCUGAUGUUGUACUUUCUGACUAGCCCGUGAUGCAGUUAACAUGCAGGAUGUGGAAACUAAUCUACAUAUAGAUAUCAUUUAACUUAGUUGGAACCGAUUGUUCUUUGAAACCCAAGUUGUGCGACUAACCCGGUAUGACCUUCCAAUGUUUGUAUCAUACUUCAUUUUUGGAAUGAAGUUAUCGAAGAUGAUUAGUUAAGCUGAAUGUUUAAAUGCUUUAGCGUUGUUAGGUUUUGGUACUUUGUAUCUUUCGGAUGAAUGUAUUACCAUUUUAUCAUUUAUAAUAAUCUGCAUCGCUUGCAAUA